Molecule: unclassified non-coding RNA, 556 nt
Filed under: Leishmania donovani
Lineage: Eukaryota; Euglenozoa; Kinetoplastea; Trypanosomatida; Trypanosomatidae
Description: gene:unknown
Source: RNAcentral
CCACACCCUGAUACGUAUCACCUUCGCUCUCAUGCACACGACAGCCAUCUUUUCGCGUACGAGCCGACAGUCGCCCACGCCCGCGCUAUAACAGAGCAAAGAGAGCUACGUCGUUAUAUACGCGUACGCAUGUAUUGAUUCCUUUCCUCUCGCCGACUUGCUCUCCCUCUCAAGCGCUCCGCCGCCCUCCCUCUCCCUGCUAAAGCAGGAAGCUACUACGAUGAAGAAAGCAAGGACACGGAAGAGCACCUUUUCCUCGCCUUCGAUUCUGAACGAACGAGGGAAGAGCGAGGCAGAGCGCUCAUGGAAAGUUUCUUGCAGCUUUAGUGCGGCUUGACUGAAUCCACGCCCUAUGCUUGAAGCAUCUCUCUUCCUCCCACCUGCGUUGAUACCGUUAUGAUGCCUGCAUAGCUCUCCACCUCUCCUCUUCUCUCUUCCGCCUCCGUGCGCGUGCUGAGCGAGCUCCUUAUGGUUGCCUGUUUCUCUCGCUCCCUUCUUCAACCUCUGAUCGCUCCUUUCCAUACUCGCUUCUCGCUGCUGGCCACUUCGACGACAG